GACGAACGCUGGCGGCGUGCUUAACACAUGCAAGUCGAGGGCAUUAUGGGGGCAACCCUGUAGUGACCGGCGAACGGGUGCGUAACACGUGAGCGACCUUGCCUCGUGGUGGGGGAUAGCCGGCCCAACGGCCGGGUAAUACCGCAUAUGGUGGUUCUUUCGCAUGGGAGAACUAGCAAAGCUGUGCAGCAAUGCAUGGCGCCACAGGGGGGCUCGCGGCCUANCAGCGUAGGUU
This 235-nucleotide ribosomal RNA is filed under the name uncultured bacterium. RNAcentral describes it as "partial 16S ribosomal RNA". It matches the Rfam family "Bacterial small subunit ribosomal RNA", at positions 28 to 254 of the family's 1533-position model. The record is from RNAcentral.